This 497-nucleotide ribosomal RNA is filed under the name uncultured bacterium. RNAcentral describes it as "partial 16S ribosomal RNA". It matches the Rfam family "Bacterial small subunit ribosomal RNA", at positions 28 to 507 of the family's 1533-position model. The record is from RNAcentral.
GAUGAACGCUGGCGGCGUGCCUAAUACAUGCAAGUCGAGCGAACGGACGAGAAGCUUGCUUCUCUGAUGUUAGCGGCGGACGGGUGAGUAACACGUGGAUAACCUACCUAUAAGACUGGGAUCACUUCGGGAAACCGGAGCUAAUACCGGAUGAUAUUUUGAACCGCAUGGUUCAAUAGUGAAAGACGGUCUUGCUGUCACUUAUAGCUGGAUCCGCGCUGCAUUAGCUAGUUGGUAAGGUAACGGCUUACCAAGGCAACGAUGCAUAGCCGACCUGAGAGGGGGGUCGGCCACACUGGAACUGAGACACGGUCCAUGCUCCUACGGGAGGCAGCAGUAGGGAAUCUUCCGCAAUGGGCGGAAGCCUGACGGAGCAACGCCGCGUGAGUGAUGAAGGUCUUCGGAUCGUAAAACUCUGUUAUUAGGGAAGAACAUAUGUGUAAGUAGCUGUGCACAUCUUGACGGUACCUAAUCAGAAAGCCACGGCUAACUACGUG